This 252-nucleotide unclassified non-coding RNA is filed under the name uncultured Pseudotomentella. RNAcentral describes it as "partial internal transcribed spacer 2". The record is from RNAcentral. Lineage: Eukaryota; Fungi; Basidiomycota; Agaricomycetes; Thelephorales; Thelephoraceae.
AAUUCUCAACUGCCUUUUAGCAUUUAUUGUUAAAGGUGAAGUUGGAUUUGGAGGAUAAUUGCUGGCGCAACUUAUGUUGGUUGCUUGUUAGCUCCUCUUAAAUGGAUGAGCUUUUCUGAUGAAUCAUGGCUCAGAGUAGUAUCAAUGUGAUAAUUAUCUACAUUAGAUGUGAAAGCUGUGAGUAGAGAGUAACUUUUUGCUCCUACAGAAAAGGAAAUGUUUUGGGGAUAAUAAACCCAUAUACAAUGACAA